This 460-nucleotide ribosomal RNA is filed under the name uncultured bacterium. Its description in RNAcentral is "partial 16S ribosomal RNA". It matches the Rfam family "Bacterial small subunit ribosomal RNA", at positions 338 to 795 of the family's 1533-position model. The record is from RNAcentral.
CCUACGGGCGGCAGCAGUGAGGAAUAUUGGUCAAUGGACGGGAGUCUGAACCAGCCAAGCCGCGUGAAGGAUGACUGUCCUAUGGGUUGUAAACUUCUUUUAUAUGGGAAUAAAAUGUUCCACGUGUGGGAUUUUGUAUGUACCUUAUGAAUAAGGAUCGGCUAACUCCGUGCCAGCAGCCGCGGUAAUACGGAGGAUCCGAGCGUUAUCCGGUUUUAUUUGGUUUAACGGGAGCGUAGGUGGAUUGUUAAGUUAGUUGUGAAAGGUUGCGGCUCAACCGUAGAAUUGCAGUUGAAACUGGCAGUCUGGAGUACAGGAGAGGUGGGCGGAAUUCGUGGUGUAGCGGUGAAAUGCGUAGAUAUAACGAAGAACUCCGAUGGCGAAGGCAGCUGACUGGACUGGAACUGACGCUGAGGCUCGAAAGUGUGGGUAUCAAACAGGAUUAGAUACCCGUGUAGUC